Molecule: long non-coding RNA, 1853 nt
Organism: Daktulosphaira vitifoliae (grape phylloxera)
Lineage: Eukaryota; Metazoa; Arthropoda; Insecta; Hemiptera; Phylloxeridae
Exons: 4
Source: RefSeq, a predicted model, not a curated record
GAACACUUAAUCUCAGCUCAAAUUGAAUCGAUUUUGAUGAACGAUAUGUAAAAAGAUCACAAAUUGUAUCUAAUCGAGGACAUUGCCCUUAAAAAUUGAAAAAAUUCCCUCGUUCCCCGUUAAUGGGGAAUCCCUCAAAAAAUUACAAAUUUAAAAAAUCGAUGCACGAAGUCUUUACCAAUUACUUGAUAUAUUUUUUAAUUUUAACAUCGGACAAUUUCCCUAUAUACCGGGGAGAGGGGUGUCAAAUCUAAAAAAUGAACAUAGAAAGUAGAACUUUUUCAAUUUAACUUUUAAAAGUUUUUCGGAAAUACUGAAACUUUUAUAUAUAUCUUAAAUAAAAGUUUAUGUGAUAUACUUUAAUUUGAAAAAAAAAAUUAACUUCUGGAAGUUUCUUCAUGCUUUGAUGCGAAGCUGAGAAAGUAUUGGUUUUACUAUGUGUUUUAGCUUCGAUGCGAAGCUAAGAAGGUGUAUCUCUACGUAAUAAACACUUCAAAAAUAGGCGAUAACAUUAACGGGACAACUGUGCAAGCUUCAAAUUUUGCUCCACAAGACAACUAUAUUGACUAACAUUUCAUAAACCCAUGUUAUUAUCGAUAACCAAAAAAUAAUUUUUUCUAAUGAUAUUUUACAUUAUUACAUUGCUUGAUAAAAUACCCACAUGACUCAGUCAAUGGGGGAGGCAUAUGCCUUUGUGCCCCUCUAAUUACCCCACUGCUCGUCACUAUCAUAAAAUGAAAUAACACUAGGCUAUUCUAUUUAUGUCCACAAUAAUGGUCUUUUACUUAACUUUUCGUUUAAAAUAGUUAAUACUUCUAUUUAUACAGGGUGAUCGAAAUCUGGUAAGACACUUAUAUUCUCAGAAACUAUUGAUUAUUUAAAAUUUUUGUAAAAAGAAAAAUUACUAAGUUUAUAAAACUCUACAAUAAUAUGCAGUUAAAUAAAUUUUUUUUUAUCCCUUCAAGGAUAAAAAUGUUUAUUUAUAAUUUUUUUUAAUGGGAACCACUAUUUUUGAUUUGAUAUAUGAUAGAAAAAAAAUUACAAACAAUUUUGUUUUUAUAAUUUUUUUUAUCCGAACAACCGUUUACGUUUUAUAAUUGUUUAAAGAUUUUGACUUCCAGAAAAAAUAUUGUCAUUUAAUACGUUUAAUAAUACCGGUGGCAGUGCAACUAGUUUUUUUGUUAAAUCCUUUAGUCUUACACAACCAUAUACUUAGCUAUUAAUAAUACACCGAAAACCCGGUUUGAAUCUAUUAUUGUUAUCACUCAUUUAGUGCGUAGUAAAUUUUUAUAGCUAAUUUACCUGUCAUAACUUGAUCAAUAAAAUUUGGUUUAUGCAACAGCAAAUAAAAAUAAUGACUUCUAUAUUUAAUACAAUAAAAUGACAAUAGAAAUUUAGCCUAAAAUCACUUAACUUUACCAAGCUGUAACGGACGAGCGGUUAAUCGGAUAAAAAAAACUAUAAGAACAAAAUUGUUUGUAAUUUUUUUGUCUAUCAUAUUAUAAAGUUAAAAAUAAUGGUGCCCAUUUAAGAAACUUAUUAAUAAGGGUUUUUAUCCUUGAAGGGACGAAAAAAAUAAUGGUUUGACUACAUAUUAUUGUAGAGUUUUUUGAACUUGAUAUUUUUUCUCUAUAAUAAAAUUAAAAAUUCUCAAUAUUUUUUGAGAAAAUGAGUGUCUUACCAGAUUUCAAUUACUCUGUAUAUUAUAUUUACAUUCUUAGAAGAACGUAAUUCUUCUCAAACAAAACAUUUAAAUAAACAUUUUAGAGAAAUAUUCAACAAACGCCUACUGCUUAGUUAUAUUGUAAUACACACAAUUCAGUCAUAAAUCAAUUAAUAGUCACUUUUAAAAU